GGGUCAGUAGGUUGGUCGUGCCACCGGUACGUACUGGUCUCACUGAUUCCUCCUUCCUGAAGAACCGUAAUGCCAUUAAUUUGGUGUUGCGGGGAAACAGGACUGCUACUUUGAAAAAAUUAGAGUGUUUAAAGCAAGCUAACGCUUGUAUACAUUAGCAUGGAAUAAUGAAAUAGGACGAUCGAUCCUAUUUUGUUGGUUUCUAGGAUUGACGUA
RNAcentral lists this ribosomal RNA (216 nucleotides) under Glomeromycotina sp. RNAcentral's name for it is "partial small subunit ribosomal RNA". The stretch from base 40 to 216 matches the Rfam family "Eukaryotic small subunit ribosomal RNA", at positions 686 to 864 of the family's 1831-position model. Lineage: Eukaryota; Fungi; Glomeromycota. The record is from RNAcentral.